UAGGGAAUCUUCGGCAAUGGACGAAAGUCUGACCGAGCAACGCCGCGUGAGUGAAGAAGGUUUUCGGAUCGUAAAACUCUGUUGUUAGAGAAGAACAAGGACGUUAGUAACUGAACGUCCCCUGACGGUAUCUAACCAGAAAGCCACGGCUAACUACGUGCCAGCAGCCGAGGUAAUACGUAGGUGGCCAGCGUUGUCCGGAUUUAUUGGGAGUAAAGCGAGCGCAGGCGGUUUCUUAAGUCUGAUGUGAAAGCCCCCGGCUCAACGGAGGAGGUUCAGUGGAAACUGGGAGACUUGAGUGCAGAAGAGGAGAGAGGAAUUCCAUGUGUAGCGGUGAAAUGCGUAGAUAUAUGGAGGAACACCAGUGGCGAAGGCGGCUCUCUGGUCUGUAACUGACGCUGAGGCUCGAAAGCGUGGGGAGCAAACAGG
RNAcentral lists this ribosomal RNA (429 nucleotides) under Gemmatimonadota bacterium. RNAcentral describes it as "Gemmatimonadetes bacterium partial 16S ribosomal RNA". It matches the Rfam family "Bacterial small subunit ribosomal RNA", at positions 355 to 776 of the family's 1533-position model. Lineage: Bacteria; Pseudomonadati; Gemmatimonadota. The record is from RNAcentral.